AAACCUAAAGAUAGCAAAGUAUAAAACUCUAUCACUCUCUUCACUUUACAAAGGAAACCCUUUCUGAAUAAUUUGCCAUGUCUCUGAAAAUGUUUCAAAUUUUGGUGUCUGCUCUGCUGUUUACAGCUUCUGUGUCGAGCGUCCUUGGAGCACCCUUUCUGACAGAAGAACCAGCGAAUCAAUUCAUGCGGCUCAAGCGACACAUUCCAUGUUCUCCCAGCUACUGGGACUCCAGCAGCAGCCAGAAGACAUGGGCACACACCCUGGCUGAACAGAUUAGUGAAUCGUGGGCAGCUCUGAGGGAAACAGCACAAUCCUACAUGGACUUGGAGCCUUUUGCCUUCGAUCCUCCGACAGUUGUGUUCGAUGGGGUUUCCCAAGAGAACAUUUCAUAGACUCGCAGCCUGUGUGUACCUAAGUGAGUAAAACUGACCCUUACAAAACUGCUGACAUUGGUUUAAUAGUGUCGUAACCUGACGCAGUGAAAAACCCAAUUGUAUCUUGAAAAAUUAAGGAAGAAUUGUUUCUACUGCCCAAGCUUAAUAGUUAUUUAAAUGUGGUCAUUUUUUUUGUGGCGGUUUCUUUUUUAAGUAUGUUUUGGAAAAACUCAUUAAGAGCUUAAAGAAUGUAUAUCCUUUUCAAAGUCCACAGAAGCUAAACUGCUUCCUAUAGAGUUGAUUUAAAAAGCAGACAGAAAGCAAUUCCCGAGGAGAAA
RNAcentral lists this long non-coding RNA (715 nucleotides) under Lonchura striata (white-rumped munia). RNAcentral's name for it is "domestica (Bengalese finch) lncRNA (ENSLSDG00000011855.1)". The record is from RNAcentral. Lineage: Eukaryota; Metazoa; Chordata; Aves; Passeriformes; Estrildidae.